UCUCUGACCACCGGCACCGAGGCGGGCUCUCUAACCUGACUGCUAAGCUCUCUCACAUGAGCCAAAUACCCUUGACAUCCCCUCCUAAGCAACCUACGAGCCUGAAGAGCUGAUAUCAAACCUCUAGGUGUACCCCUCCUGUCUCCCCUGAAGACGACCUCUGACCCAUCCUGACCUCUGAACCUGACUACCUUGUCCCUGCAGUCCAAGGUAGCACCAUGGGUAGAUAACCAGUCCAUCCCUAGAAUGACGUCAAAAUCUG
This 262-nucleotide long non-coding RNA is filed under the name Manihot esculenta (cassava). RNAcentral's name for it is "long non-coding RNA (MESC_LNC006746)". The record is from RNAcentral. Lineage: Eukaryota; Viridiplantae; Streptophyta; Magnoliopsida; Malpighiales; Euphorbiaceae.